Regulatory RNA element from Paenibacillus sp. HGF7, 150 nucleotides. It matches the Rfam family "Ribosomal protein L10 leader". Rfam says of the family: This family is a putative r-protein leader autoregulatory structure found in B. subtilis and other low-GC Gram-positive bacteria. It is located in the 5' untranslated regions of mRNAs encoding ribosomal proteins L10 and L12 (rplJ-rplL). NCBI's taxonomy places the organism in Bacteria, Bacillati, Bacillota, Bacilli, Caryophanales, Paenibacillaceae. The record is from Rfam.
AACAAACGAAUAUAUAGACCGUAGACAGCAGGUGCCGAUGGGAACAUCCCAAACAGCUUAAUGUCCUGCCGAGGUGUUAUGAUAUAAGUUCGGGUUAUACCGGAAGUGUCAUGCCUUCGUAGAGUCUACGAAGGCAUUUCUUAUGCUUAG